UGUCUGGUGGCCGCCGAGCAACAUGAUC
RNAcentral lists this small RNA (28 nucleotides) under Bombyx mori (domestic silkworm). RNAcentral's name for it is "ovarian small RNA-35821". Lineage: Eukaryota; Metazoa; Arthropoda; Insecta; Lepidoptera; Bombycidae. The record is from RNAcentral.